This 253-nucleotide ribosomal RNA is filed under the name uncultured bacterium. RNAcentral's name for it is "partial 16S ribosomal RNA". It matches the Rfam family "Bacterial small subunit ribosomal RNA", at positions 524 to 776 of the family's 1533-position model. The record is from RNAcentral.
UACGGAGGGGGCUAGCGUUGUUCGGAAUUACUGGGCGUAAAGCGCACGUAGGCGGCUUUGUAAGUUAGAGGUGAAAGCCCGGAGCUCAACUCCGGAAUUGCCUUUAAGACUGCAUCGCUCGAAUCAUGGAGAGGUGAGUGGAAUUCCGAGUGUAGAGGUGAAAUUCGUAGAUAUUCGGAGGAACACCAGUGGCGAAGGCGGCUCACUGGUCCGGUACUGACGCUGAGGUGCGAAAGCGUGGGGAGCAAACAGG